Molecule: ribosomal RNA, 734 nt
Filed under: uncultured bacterium
Lineage: Bacteria
Description: bacterial SSU rRNA
Rfam family: Bacterial small subunit ribosomal RNA
Source: RNAcentral
GAUGAACGCUGGCGGCGUGCUUAAUACAUGCAAGUCGAACGGAGUUUAAAUGAAACCUAGUGAUUUUAAACUUAGUGGCGGACGGGUGAGUAACGCGUGGGUAACCUGCCCUGUACAGGGGGAUAACGGCUGGAAACGGCCGCUAAAACCGCAUAACAUCGGAAUACCGCAUGAUGUUCCGGUCAAAUAUUUAUAGGUACAGGAUGGGCCCGCGUCUGAUUAGCUAGAUGGUGAGGUAACGGCCCACCAUGGCGACGAUCAGUAGCCGUACUGAGAGGUAGAACGGCCACAUUGGGACUGAGACACGGCCCAAACUCCUACGGGAGGCAGCAGUAGGGAAUAUUGGUCAAUGGGGGAAACCCUGAACCAGCGACGCCGCGUGAGUGAAGAAGUAUUUCGGUAUGUAAAGCUCUAUCAGCAGGGACGAUAAUGACGGUACCUGACUAAGAAGCCCCGGCUAACUACGUGCCAGCAGCCGCGGUAAUACGUAGGGGGCAAGCGUUAUCCGGAUUUACUGGGUGUAAAGGGAGUGUAGGUGGUCAUGCAAGUCAGAUGUGAAAUUCCGGGGCUCAACCCCGGACUGCAUUUGAAACUGCGUGACUGGAGUGCAGGAGAGGCAAGCGGAAUUCCUAGUGUAGCGGUGAAAUGCGUAGAUAUUAGGAGGAACACCAGUGGCGAAGGCGGCUUGCUGGACGACAACUGACGCUGAGGCGCGAAAGCGUGGGGAGCAAACA